AUUGAACGCUGGCGGCAUGCUUUACACAUGCAAGUCGGACGGCAGCACAGAGAAGCUUGCUUCUUGGGUGGCGAGUGGCGAACGGGUGAGUAACAUAUCGGAACGUACCGAGCAGUGGGGGAUAACUAAUCGAAAGAUUAGCUAAUACCGCAUAUCUUCUGAGGAAGAAAGCAGGGGACCAUUUGGCCUUGCGCUGUUUGAGCGGCCGAUAUCUGAUUAGCUAGUUGGUGGGGUAAAGGCCUACCAAGGCGACGAUCAGUAGCGGGUCUGAGAGGAUGAUCCGCCACACUGGGACUGAGACACGGCCCAGACUCCUACGGGAGGCAGCGGUGGGGAAUUUUGGACAAUGGGCGCAAGCCUGAUCCAGCCAUGCCGCGUGUCUGAAGAAGGCCUUCGGGUUGUAAAGGACUUUUGUCAGGGAAGAAAAGGGCGGGGUUAAUACCCCUGUCUGAUGACGGUACCUGAAGAAUAAGCACCGGCUAACUACGUG
RNAcentral lists this ribosomal RNA (490 nucleotides) under uncultured bacterium. Its description in RNAcentral is "partial 16S ribosomal RNA". It matches the Rfam family "Bacterial small subunit ribosomal RNA", at positions 30 to 507 of the family's 1533-position model. The record is from RNAcentral.